CCCCUAGUAGCGGCGAGUGAAGAGGGAAAAGCUCAAACUUUGAAUCUGGUGUCUUUGGCAUCCGAGUUGUAAUCUAGAGAAGUGUUUUUYGCCUUGGACCACACAUAAAUUCCCUGGAAUGGGGUGUCAUAGAGGGUGAGAAUCCCGUUUGUGGUGUGGACUACCUUGGCUAUGUAAUACACUCUCAACGAGUCGAGUUGUUUGGGAAUGCAGCUCAAAAUGGGUGGUAAAUUCCAUCUAAAGCUAAAUAYUGGCGAGAGACCGAUAGCGAACAAGUACCGUGAGGGAAAGAUGAAAAGCACUUUGGAAAGAGAGUGAAACAGUACGUGAAAUUGUUGAAAGGGAAGCGUUUGAAGUCAGUCACAUUGGUCAGAAUUCAGCCUGGCUUCUGCCUGGUUCACUUUUUGGCAAAUGGGUCAGCAUCAAUUUUGAUUGAGGGAGAAAGACUUGAGGAAUGUGGCUGUCUUCGGAUAGUGUUAUAGCCUCUUGUUGUAUKKCUCARUUGGGAUUGAGGAAYGCAGCACGCCUUAUGGCCGGGGUUCGCCCUCUGUACGUGCUYAGGAUGUUGAC
This 570-nucleotide ribosomal RNA is filed under the name Serendipita vermifera. RNAcentral describes it as "LSU rRNA". It matches the Rfam family "Eukaryotic large subunit ribosomal RNA", at positions 77 to 630 of the family's 3401-position model. Lineage: Eukaryota; Fungi; Basidiomycota; Agaricomycetes; Sebacinales; Serendipitaceae. The record is from RNAcentral.